RNAcentral lists this microRNA precursor (60 nucleotides) under Scyliorhinus torazame (cloudy catshark). RNAcentral's name for it is "Sto-Mir-184_pre stem-loop". It matches the Rfam family "mir-184 microRNA precursor family", at positions 13 to 76 of the family's 86-position model. Lineage: Eukaryota; Metazoa; Chordata; Chondrichthyes; Carcharhiniformes; Scyliorhinidae. The record is from RNAcentral.
CCUUAUCACUUUUCCAGCCUCGCUUCACUCUAAUGUGCUGGACGGAGAACUGAUAAGGGC